Molecule: unclassified non-coding RNA, 607 nt
Filed under: Hevea brasiliensis (rubber tree)
Lineage: Eukaryota; Viridiplantae; Streptophyta; Magnoliopsida; Malpighiales; Euphorbiaceae
Source: RNAcentral
GACGAGAGUGAGAGUGAGAGUGAGCGUGAGCGGGCUUGGUGUUGCUGUAUACAGUGGUGAGUUUGUUUGGAUCUGGAUCUCGAUCUGGACCACUCGAGGUUUCGUGGAGAUCACUACCACCGACGCCACCACAAGAAAGAGCUUCAUGUCCUGCCAAAUGCAGAGAAAUUUCUGAAGCAAGAGAGUCGCGGUCGUGCGCAUCAGAAGCAAAAGAGCAGCGAUCAACACUGGCAGAAGCAGAAGAGAAGAGACUAAAGUUGGACUCGAGAGUGAAAAUGACAGAGUCAGGGCUAGCAUCGCGAGCUCUAAACCCCGAUCUGGACGAGCUCUGAUCCCGAUACAUAAGCUCCGGCAUUUUCAAUAUUCAGUUUCUUGCUUGGUAGCCUCAGAGGAAGCCAAAGAAAUCAGAAAGCGAGUGAGAUUUCGUCAUUGGCUUCUGUUAUGGGUUUGGAGAAUCUGCUUGCAUUCAUGGCAAGUGGCGAGGCGAGUUAUAUGGCGGGUGCUAAAAGGACGUUACAUAUGUCAUUCAUCAGUUUUUUUUUAUAUAUAAUAUUAUAAUAAAGGCAACCAGAGAAAAAGACAAAUAAAUUUUUAAGGAGCUUUUCUU